Molecule: small nucleolar RNA, 74 nt
Organism: Pararge aegeria (speckled wood butterfly)
Lineage: Eukaryota; Metazoa; Arthropoda; Insecta; Lepidoptera; Nymphalidae
Source: RefSeq, a predicted model, not a curated record
CCAAAGUGAUGUUAAAUCUUUUCCCUGAUUUGCCAUGUGGGUGAAAAAUAUCGAGCUUUUUAACACUGAUUGGU